This 301-nucleotide ribosomal RNA is filed under the name uncultured bacterium. RNAcentral's name for it is "partial 16S ribosomal RNA". It matches the Rfam family "Bacterial small subunit ribosomal RNA", at positions 509 to 807 of the family's 1533-position model. The record is from RNAcentral.
CAGCAGCCGCGGUAAUACGAGGGGUGCAAGCGUUAUUCGGAUUGAUUGGGUGUAAAGGGUGUGCAGACGGCUUAUUAAGUCACUUGUUAAAUUCUUCGGCCUAACUGAAGGUCGGCAAGUGAUACUGAUGAGCUAGAGGGUGGAAGAGAGAAGUGGAAUUCUCGGAGUAGCGGUAAAAUGCGUAGAUCUCGAGAGGAACACCAAUGGCGAAGGCAGCUUCUUGGUCCAUUCCUGACGUUCAUACACGAAAGCGUGGGGAGCAAACAGGAUUAGAUACCCCCGUAGUCCCUGUCUCUUAUAC